CGCCGACCCGGAGACGUUCGCCAAGAACCGGGAGCUGGAGGUGAUCCACUCCCGGUGGGCGAUGCUGGGCGCGCUCGGCUGCGUCUUCCCGGAGCUCCUCGCCCGGAACGGCGUCAAGUUCGGCGAGGCCGUGUGGUUCAAGGCGGGCUCGCAGAUCUUCAGCGAGGGCGGGCUCGACUACCUCGGCAACCCGAGCCUGAUCCACGCGCAGAGCAUCCUCGCCAUCUGGGCGGUGCAGGUGGUGCUCAUGGGCGCCGUCGAGGGGUACCGCAUCGCCGGCGGGCCGCUCGGCGAGGUCGUCGACCCGCUCUACCCCGGCGGCGCCUUCGACCCGCUCGGCCUCGCCGAUGACCCCGAGGCGUUCGCGGAGCUCAAGGUGAAGGAGAUCAAGAACGGCCGCCUCGCCAUGUUCUCCAUGUUCGGCUUCUUCGUCCAGGCCAUCGUCACCGGCAAGGGCCCCCUCGAGAACCUCGCCGACCACCUCGCCGACCCCGUCAACAACAACGCCUGGGCGUACGCCACCAACUUCGUCCCCGGCAAGUGAAGUGGGGGACCGUAGCUUAGCAGUGGUUAAUUGUGGUUGGAUGGAUUUGUGGCCAGCGAGUUCGUUGUCUUUGGGUUGGGGAAGAUGGGUUUAGUGCGACGAGAU
Molecule: long non-coding RNA, 649 nt
Filed under: Oryza sativa (Asian cultivated rice)
Lineage: Eukaryota; Viridiplantae; Streptophyta; Magnoliopsida; Poales; Poaceae
Description: long non-coding RNA (OSAT_LNC001630)
Source: RNAcentral